UCUAAAAUGGCAGACCAUUGCAUGGGACUUAAGCUCCCAAUAGGAAGAUACUCUUCUUUUAGAA
RNAcentral lists this transfer RNA (64 nucleotides) under Typhlatya sp. JR2016. RNAcentral's name for it is "tRNA-Leu". The record is from RNAcentral. Lineage: Eukaryota; Metazoa; Arthropoda; Malacostraca; Decapoda; Atyidae.